CUCCUGGGAAGUCCUCGUGUUGCACCCCUAUCUUUUUCUUCGCGUUGUCGUUUGCGGCGGUCCAGCACGCUCGCUCUGCAUGCACCCCUUUGAUCUUCCCUGCAUUUAUUUUUUUUCUCGCUGGGCUUAUCGUUUACGUCGGUCCAGCACGUUCGCUUUGGAGGCUCGGCCCGCCCCAUUGCAAAAGCACGAGCCGCAGAUCUCGUUUUGGGUGCUAAAGGGUCGCGGGGACGUCGAAAUGCGCGGAAGCCCCUCGGGUUUCACCUCUCCGGCGUUAAGGUGCAUCGUUGCGUUCGGAUCCUUUUAUAAGAAUUAAACGCUCUUAUGCUGAUGGGUGCGAUCAUACCAACACUAAUGCACCGGA
RNAcentral lists this ribosomal RNA (364 nucleotides) under Quercus ithaburensis subsp. macrolepis. Lineage: Eukaryota; Viridiplantae; Streptophyta; Magnoliopsida; Fagales; Fagaceae. The record is from RNAcentral.